This 301-nucleotide ribosomal RNA is filed under the name uncultured bacterium. RNAcentral's name for it is "partial 16S ribosomal RNA". It matches the Rfam family "Bacterial small subunit ribosomal RNA", at positions 509 to 807 of the family's 1533-position model. The record is from RNAcentral.
CAGUAGCCACGGGAAUACGUAGGUGGCAAGCGUUGUCCGGAAUUAUUGGGCGUAAAGGGCUCGCGGGCGGUUUCUUAAGUCUGAUGUGAAAGCCCCCGGCUCAACCGGGGAGGGUCAUUGGAAACUGGGAAACUUGAGUGCAGAAGAGGAGAGUGGAAUUCCACGUGUAGCGGUGAAAUGCGUAGAGAUGUGGAGGAACACCAGUGGCGAAGGCGACUCUCUGGUCUGUAACUGACGCUGAGGAGCGAAAGCGUGGGGAGCGAACAGGAUUAGAGACCCCCGUAGUCCCUGUCUCUUAUAC